Molecule: long non-coding RNA, 265 nt
Filed under: Malus domestica (apple)
Lineage: Eukaryota; Viridiplantae; Streptophyta; Magnoliopsida; Rosales; Rosaceae
Description: long non-coding RNA (MDOM_LNC006649)
Source: RNAcentral
UGUAAUUUUCAGUUCGGGCUGGUUCUAGAAGGAUAGGAACUGCGGGUACCCGGACCGGCCCUUUUGCAAUUGAAAUGGACGAACGAGAUUGAAGAAAGCAUCUCUCCAUCUAAUCUUAACUGUUAGUUUUAGGUUUCCUCGUCAUUGACCUCGACUUUGUCACUCGACUCGAGUCUUCGAACUCGAUUUCAUCUCCCACAGUCUCUCUCCAAAGUCAGUGCCUUAUCGGUAACCCAAUCAAUCGACAAUUGAUGGCGUUGCGAGG